This 72-nucleotide transfer RNA is filed under the name Camelus bactrianus (Bactrian camel). It matches the Rfam family "tRNA". Rfam says of the family: Transfer RNA (tRNA) molecules are approximately 80 nucleotides in length. Their secondary structure includes four short double-helical elements and three loops (D, anti-codon, and T loops). RNAcentral also lists the same sequence under 1 other name. Lineage: Eukaryota; Metazoa; Chordata; Mammalia; Artiodactyla; Camelidae. The record is from Rfam by way of RNAcentral.
GAGGGCAUACCUCAAUGGCAGAAUGUCUGCUUAGUAUGCACAAGGUCCUGGGUUCAAUUCCCAGUACCUCUG